RNAcentral lists this long non-coding RNA (708 nucleotides) under Salmo salar (Atlantic salmon). RNAcentral's name for it is "lncRNA (ENSSSAG00000112394.1)". The record is from RNAcentral. Lineage: Eukaryota; Metazoa; Chordata; Actinopteri; Salmoniformes; Salmonidae.
AGAGAAUGUAGCAGAAGACACCUUAAAGACAGAUAAGCCAUGGCAGAGAGAAGGCUUCUGGACUUUAAUAAUCAUCUAUUAAUGUAGUGCAGGUUAGACCCCAACUACCCCACUCUGCCCCUGUAGGUUAGACCCCAACUACCCCACUCUGUCCCUGUAGGUUAGACCCCAACUACCCCACUCUGCCCCUGUAGGUUAGACCCCAACUACCCCACUCUGCCCCUGCAGGUUAGACCCCAACUACCCCACUCUGCCCCUGCAGGUUAGACCCCAACUACCCCACUCUGUCCCUGUAGGUUAGACCCCAACUACCCCACUCUGUCCCUGUAGGUUAGACCCCAACUACCCCACUCUGUCCCUGUAGGUUAGACCCCAACUACCCCUGCAGGUUUGAACAUGUUUUAAAUGCCCUACUGCGUGGCUAUGAUGUUGACUUUGGUAUUUUGGCAUGUUAUUUAUCAAUCUGUUAAUAGCAAUAUUGAAAUGCUUAUAACAUUGUUCUAAUAAUAAUUUAUUGACCUAUUGCCUUUAUCGUGGAUAUCAUAUAUAUAUUUACCUUUCAACAGUUUCUGUCUCUAGACUUCCAGGCUGACUGUAGACACUAUUUAUCAAACCAUCAUGUGCAAUUAUUAAACUGAAUCAGUAGCUUUUAGAGUCUUCUAACUACAUACUGUAUCUCCUAUGUUAUAAUAUACCACCAGACUGAUG